Molecule: transfer RNA, 72 nt
Filed under: Rhizophagus irregularis DAOM 181602=DAOM 197198
Lineage: Eukaryota; Fungi; Glomeromycota; Glomeromycetes; Glomerales; Glomeraceae
Description: tRNA-Asn (ATT) (tRNA-Asn-ATT-2-1)
Rfam family: tRNA
About the family: Transfer RNA (tRNA) molecules are approximately 80 nucleotides in length. Their secondary structure includes four short double-helical elements and three loops (D, anti-codon, and T loops). Further hydrogen bonds mediate the characteristic L-shaped molecular structure. tRNAs have two regions of fundamental functional importance: the anti-codon, which is responsible for specific mRNA codon recognition, and the 3' end, to which the tRNAs corresponding amino acid is attached (by aminoacyl-tRNA synthetases). tRNAs cope with the degeneracy of the genetic code in two manners: having more than one tRNA (with a specific anti-codon) for a particular amino acid; and 'wobble' base-pairing, i.e. permitting non-standard base-pairing at the 3rd anti-codon position.
Source: RNAcentral
ACCCAAUUAGUUCAAUUGGUAGAACACUGAGUAAUUGACUCUGAAAUGCAGGUUUGAUUCCUGCACUGGAAA